AGUGAACGCUGGCGGUAGGCCUAACACAUGCAAGUCGAACGGCAGCACAGUAAGAGCUUGCUCUUACGGGUGGCGAGUGGCGGACGGGUGAGGAAUACAUCGGAAUCUACUUUUUCGUGGGGGAUAACGUAGGGAAACUUACGCUAAUACCUCAUACGACCUACGGGUGAAAGCAGGGGAUCUUCGGACCCUGCGCGAUUGAAUGAGCCGAUGUCGGAUUAGCUAGUUGGCGGGGUAAAGGCCCACCAAGGCAACGAUCCGUAGCUGGUCUGAGAGGAUGAUCAGCCACACUGGAACUGAGACACGGUCCAGACUCCUACGGGAGGCAGCAGUGGGGAAUAUUGGAUAAUGGGCGCAAGCCUGAUCCAGCCAUACCGCGUGGGUGAAGAAGGCCUUCGGGUUGUAAAGCCCUUUUGUUGGGAAAGAAAAGCAGCAGGUUAAUACCCCGCUGUUCUGACGGUACCCAAAGAAUAAGCACCGGCUAACUUCGUG
Molecule: ribosomal RNA, 492 nt
Filed under: uncultured bacterium
Lineage: Bacteria
Description: partial 16S ribosomal RNA
Rfam family: Bacterial small subunit ribosomal RNA
Source: RNAcentral